GGGGACGUGGAGAAAUUGGUAAACUCUGGCGACUUAAAAUCGCCCGGCUUCGGCCUUGCGGGUUCAAGUCCCGCCGUCCCCACCA
Molecule: transfer RNA, 85 nt
Filed under: Caenispirillum bisanense
Lineage: Bacteria; Pseudomonadati; Pseudomonadota; Alphaproteobacteria; Rhodospirillales; Novispirillaceae
Also listed under: 2 other names
Description: tRNA-Leu
Rfam family: tRNA
About the family: Transfer RNA (tRNA) molecules are approximately 80 nucleotides in length. Their secondary structure includes four short double-helical elements and three loops (D, anti-codon, and T loops). Further hydrogen bonds mediate the characteristic L-shaped molecular structure. tRNAs have two regions of fundamental functional importance: the anti-codon, which is responsible for specific mRNA codon recognition, and the 3' end, to which the tRNAs corresponding amino acid is attached (by aminoacyl-tRNA synthetases). tRNAs cope with the degeneracy of the genetic code in two manners: having more than one tRNA (with a specific anti-codon) for a particular amino acid; and 'wobble' base-pairing, i.e. permitting non-standard base-pairing at the 3rd anti-codon position.
Source: RNAcentral